GAAGCUAUAGUACAGUGGUAGAACAGUUGCCUAUCACACAUGAGGCCCUAGGUUCAAUUCCCAGUACCUGCU
This 72-nucleotide transfer RNA is filed under the name Ictidomys tridecemlineatus (thirteen-lined ground squirrel). RNAcentral describes it as "Spermophilus tridecemlineatus (thirteen-lined ground squirrel) tRNA". It matches the Rfam family "tRNA". From Rfam's summary of the family: Transfer RNA (tRNA) molecules are approximately 80 nucleotides in length. Their secondary structure includes four short double-helical elements and three loops (D, anti-codon, and T loops). The record is from Rfam by way of RNAcentral. Lineage: Eukaryota; Metazoa; Chordata; Mammalia; Rodentia; Sciuridae.